Odocoileus virginianus texanus is the source of this 969-nucleotide non-coding RNA. The record is from RefSeq and is a predicted model, not a curated record. Lineage: Eukaryota; Metazoa; Chordata; Mammalia; Artiodactyla; Cervidae.
UGGGAAGAGGCAGGAGGGGUUCUGUUAACGGUCCAACAGGCAGCUCGCUCAGAUGCUCUGUUGUCUUCAGUCUCAGUGUUCCCCCCCCACGCAGCUGUGCCGUGCAAGUAACACUUCACUCUUAUAGGCUGAGCUGUAUUUCAGGGCUUCACUGACAAGUGACUCACUGCUGAUGCUGGUAACACGAACUCAAGGUGCAGAAACUUUGAAAUGGAUGGGGUAGAUGAGACCGGAAGCUCCAUCAUCUGGACUGCUAGGACUUGAACUCCAGCAGCUAAGCCAUCUGUGAUACACCAAGAGGACCAGGUAACAUAGGGCUACUGAUGUUCACAGCACCAGAAGAGACUAAGACUUCUUGUCUCUUGAAGUAAAAGACAGCAUGAAUCUCAAGCGCCAUGGCUUUCUCGCUAACUUCUAGGGUGAAUUUAAGGAAACCCUUGAACUGCUCCAUCUUGAAAACAUUUUUAACAGGUUCCUCACAUCCCAGCUAGACUGAACUUCUUCACGGCAGGGCUUGCCUGCUCUCACUUGAGGUUGCUGAGGUCAAGAGGAUGCUCAAUUGUGGACCAACAGAAAGAGCAGAGGUACAACAACAUAAAACAGUUUCUCUGGUUGCCCUCAGUAGCUCACUACUAGGGAUUUAUUUUUGGCUCGAAGGUCAGGGAGGACAUUUGAAGGCACUACUUCUGUCGCUAAACUGUGUUUUCCAACAUGAGUUGCCUGGGUUGGGAGAGGAGCCCUCACUGUCGGUCUUGGAAUGGAAGCCUAGGAUGUGGUAAUGCCAUCCGCACAAUAGGUGAGACUCCCCUCUUCAAUCAAGCACUUAAAUCACACAAAUGUCCAGGGAAGAGGAAGGAUCAACAUAAUGUAAUGUGUGCAUCUCCUAGGAUAAGCAGGAAUGCUGCUCACUUCUGCUUAGGUGUGCAGGCAAACUGCAUACAUACAUGAAGGUGGGAGAAGUAAUCAGAA